GGGCACGAACUCAGGCAAAGCGUGGUGCUUAGCCGAGAUAAGAUCUUUGACCAACUGGGCAUGUUCAAGCACUCUGCAUACGAGUUGGGUUUCAGCAUCGCGACCCGGUCAUAAAUUUUAGCACGAAGGCCUUUGAGAAACUUCAUAAGUUUUUGGCUUUUGAGGGUGACCAUCAAAGGGGCAAACCUAGACAGUUAAAUAAAUCAGGCUGCAUACUGGGCUACAGACAAGCUUUUUUUAUGGAGGUCUUGAAAUUCCUCAUCUUUCUUUUACUAAACAUAAGCAGGGAUGAAGUUAUCAAAGAAAGAAUCCAUGAAAACUUCCCAAGUGGUAGGGGUAGGCAGAACUUCUUUCUUAAGUCACCACCAGUGUUCAGCUUCCCCGUUUAACAUGAAGGCUACAAAAGAGACCUUUUCUUCUUCGAUCAAGUCUACUACAAAGAAGAAUUUUUCUAUUUGUAGGAUCCAGCCUUUGGUUACUAAAGGAUCAGGGCAACCUUCAAAGUGUGGGGGUUAAGUUUUCUAAACUCUGCUAUAUUGUGGGAGAUAGACCGAUCUGUAUUUCAGAAUUCAGGGGAAGGGGGUGGAUAAGGAUUGGCUUGGUUUUUUUCCUACAGCUAUAGUUAAUCCUUGAAUGACUUGAAAAAUUUCUGUAAAUUUAGUCCUACUUGGAUGAUCUAGGGCUUUAGGUCGUUCAGUACGCUCUAUAGAUGGUCUUUCCCGUAUCAUUCCUACGAAAGAAAGGAAGACACGAGUUGGAGGUUUAAUUUUUGAAAAAGGACAUUUCUCUUCCCUAGAUACUCUAAAAAGGUUUAUUUAUCCAAGACCUCAGUGCAAGAGAUUUGUUCCGCAAAAUUCUGCUAUGAUACUACAUGUGACAUCCCAAGUGCCAAUUAAGGCAAAUGGAUAUCAGAUACAGAUUGAAUAACGAGUGCAUGAUUAUAUUUACACAGUAGAAUCAAACCUUAACAAAUCCUUUACAGAUAUAUAUAAUGCUCCAAAUACAUAUAUCACUGAGGCCAGAAGUGGCAAAAAAAUACAAAACAUAAAGGUCAUUUCUUUCACUAUGCUAUUGGAAUUCAUCAGAGUGCGAGAACAGUCAUGCACUUAGACUUGUGGAUCCACAGGAUCCUUAUAGACUUCCAAGAGUAGUCUGCCUGUGGUUCCUCAUUUUCUUCCUCAUCUAGGGGGAUCGAAAAAGUGAAUUCCAUAUGCUCAUUAAGGAAAACCAUAUUAAAUUAACGUCGUAAGAUUUUAAAGGUUUGUUAUUUUAUCUCACCGUUUAGUUUCCUUGUUUACCUAACUCAUCAUUAGUAAAGGAAACCAUUUAUUUGAAUAUCAAAAUAAUAUGUUAGCAUAGAAAAUCAAUUAAAUCAUAAAAUGCACAGAUAUUUUGUGUCAUACUUCGCGAAAUCGUUACAAACUUCUAUCUUUGAAGGAAGAUACAGAUUUCCAACUAUCCAAGUGGAGUGACCAGAUCGGAUACAGAUAUGGCAAUUUGCUCAGGCUUACUUCCGGGUGGCCAAACUAUGGUAUGAUUUAUGACCAUAGUCGUACCAACCAUAGUGGUCCUAAUAGAUAUUUAUAGUCACGACAUUAUUUAGCAACGAGUGACCCCUACAGAUAAUGCAAUACCACUCUCGUUAGAGGGUACACCGUCAUCCAUUGGAAGCGGUCUUCUUAUCUCAUUCUAGACUAGAUAGGAGAGGGAGAAACAGAUACCACAAAGGGUAAGGGGAACAGAUACCCCUUAGAAAUAAAAAGUCUAACGAGACACUUGAUGUGUCAAUACAGAUAUACUUUGGACUACACAGGCUUCAUUCCACUUUUCUCUU
This 1834-nucleotide long non-coding RNA is filed under the name Carica papaya (papaya). RNAcentral's name for it is "long non-coding RNA (CPAP_LNC014338)". The record is from RNAcentral. Lineage: Eukaryota; Viridiplantae; Streptophyta; Magnoliopsida; Brassicales; Caricaceae.